Telopea speciosissima is the source of this 225-nucleotide long non-coding RNA. RefSeq lists it as uncharacterized. NCBI's taxonomy places the organism in Eukaryota, Viridiplantae, Streptophyta, Magnoliopsida, Proteales, Proteaceae. The record is from RefSeq and is a predicted model, not a curated record. The transcript is spliced from 2 exons.
ACAAAAGCAGUUGAUAUCAUAGAGAAAGAAGGGUUUCCAUUCAAUAAUGCCUUGGUCCUAGAUGUGCAUACUUGCUCAAGUCAACUGACUUAUUUUAUGACAGAUAAACCAAUAAUCUGAUAUCCAUAUGUUUUAGUCAGUUGCAGAACAAGUGCCACCUAGUUUAGUUUGAGGUUCAAUCCAUUGUAUGAAUCCUUUUAAUAUGAUUAUGUUAUGCAUUUAAAA